RNAcentral lists this ribosomal RNA (253 nucleotides) under uncultured bacterium. RNAcentral's name for it is "partial 16S ribosomal RNA". It matches the Rfam family "Bacterial small subunit ribosomal RNA", at positions 524 to 776 of the family's 1533-position model. The record is from RNAcentral.
UACGUAGGCAGCGAGCGUUGUUCGGAGUUACUGGGCGUAAAGCGCACGUAGGCGGCUUUGUAAGUUAGAGGUGAAAGCCCAGGGCUUAACCCUGGAAUUGCCUUUAAGACUGCAUCGCUAGAAUCGUGGAGAGGUAAGUGGAAUUCCGAGUGUAGAGGUGAAAUUCGUAGAUAUUCGGAAGAACACCAGUGGCGAAGGCGACUUACUGGACACGUAUUGACGCUGAGGUGCGAAAGCGUGGGGAGCAAACAGG